UUUACUCACGAUGAAGUGGAAAUUCGGUACAUAUACCUUCGCAACUAGUGGGGCAUUUUUGUUCGUUAUUUGGUGUGUUACUCUUGGCUGCAAAUAAUGACGAAAGAACGGGUAUCGUUGUCUAAGCUGUCAAGAACGGCGUUCCUUUUCUUGAGCGUAUUGACCUGUUGUUUAAUUGUUUUAGGCUCCACCAGACAUUUGUUGAUCAGUUACCAUGACAAACGCGAGUUACUCAAUGUAAAUUUAAUAUUAUUGAUAAAUAGUUUUGCUAUCGAUAAUAACAACGAUACAAUUGUUCCUUACUAAUGUUUUAUUGCACCUUUACGCGAUGCAUUCCGUUUCUACCGCUGUUCCACUCUCGUCUGUCCCAUACGUGCAUCGAAACGUGCGCCUAUUGCCCAAAACCCUCUUAUCAUGUUUGGCGUGACGAGUUCCGCCGCGGCUGGAUGCACGCGGCUAGGGCCAAGUAGGAGCUUUAUCAGGUACCGAAUGAGGAAGGAGAGUGAGACAGAGAGCAAAAAACCAAAUACUUUACACAUUAAUCGGCGUGCUUAACACGAGAGAGAGAAAGAGAGUAAUCACAUUAUACGCGGCUCCGUGUUCUAAUCUAAUCAUGUCCGACGGGGGAAUGCUAUAUUUGUUUACACCGUACUGUACCUUUGUUCGAUUCGCCAGUUCUGUUCUCUCGCAGGCGCCAGACGCUACCGAACUGGCUGGCAUCCGGAAUCGCCCGCAAUCAGAAAGCCGUUCCUCAAACCCCAACCCACUCCGACGACACAUUGCACGCGAGCAAGGAUACGAUGGAACGUCACACACUGUACCCUGAGGGCAGCUCGCUUGUGGCCACUGCCAAGCAGCGUGCCGAAUCGUUCGAUUUGCUCGACGAGCUGGAACUGUUGCUGCACCGGAAAGGACAUUGGCCGGUGUUCCUCGUGACCUUGAUUGCGCUGGCAUUGUGUUUCCUCGUGGUCGGUUUACUGAUGGCCACCGGGAUCAUGUUGGUGACGUUCCUGCUGUUCAUCUUCAACCACGAACCGCCAAACGAGACAACCAGUUCCCUAAAUUGGCGGGGGGAUUUUUAAAAUGUACCGCUCAUUGUUGCAAUACAAUAAAUCUGCUAAAACCUA
Long non-coding RNA from Anopheles gambiae (African malaria mosquito), 1127 nucleotides. RefSeq lists it as uncharacterized. The transcript has 2 exons. Lineage: Eukaryota; Metazoa; Arthropoda; Insecta; Diptera; Culicidae. The record is from RefSeq and is a predicted model, not a curated record.